This 494-nucleotide ribosomal RNA is filed under the name uncultured bacterium. Its description in RNAcentral is "partial 16S ribosomal RNA". It matches the Rfam family "Bacterial small subunit ribosomal RNA", at positions 28 to 507 of the family's 1533-position model. The record is from RNAcentral.
GACGAACGCUGGCGGCGUGCUUAACACAUGCAAGUCGAACGGAAAGGCCUGCUUUCCCUUGUGGAUUGCGGGUACUCGAGUGGCGAACGGGUGAGUAACACGUGAGUGAUCUGCCCCCAACUUGGGUAUAAGCCUGGGAAACUGGGUCUAAUUCCCGAUAGGACUGCAGGGUGGUGCCUGUGGUGGAAAACGAUUUUCUAGUGGUUGGGGAUGAGCUCGCGGCCUAUCAGCUUGUUGGUGGGGUAAUGGCCUACCAAGGCGGCGACGGGUAGCCGGCCUGGGAGGGUGGACGGCCACAUUGGGACUGGGAUACGGCCCAGACUCCUACGGGAGGCAGCAGUGGGGAAUAUUGCACAAUGGGCGGAAGCCUGAUGCAGCGACGCCGCGUGGGGGAUGACGGCCUUCGGGUUGUAAACUCCUUUCGACCGAGAGGAAGCCACCUGGUUGGAAGGGUGGUGACGGUAGUGGUAGAAGAAGCACCGGCUAACUACGUG